CCAGCAGCUGCGGUAAUUCCGGCUCCAAUAGCAUAUAUUACAGUUGUUGCAGUUAAAAAGCUCGUAGUUGGAUUUCAAGAAUCUCAUCUGAGCAACCAGUAUGAAUUCUACCAGUCUUAGACUGUUACUGUGAGAAAAUUAGAGUGUUUCAAGCAGGCAAUUGCAGGAAUACAUUAGCAUGGAAUAACGAAUGUAUCAUCAAUUUGGUUGAUUGAUGGUUACGGUUAAUAGGGACAGUUGGGGGCAUUAGUAUUUAAUUGUCAGAGGUGAAAUUCUGUGAUUAGUUAAAGACUAACAUAUGCGAAAGUAUUUGCCAAGGAUGUUUUCAUUAAUCAAGAACGAAAGU
RNAcentral lists this ribosomal RNA (346 nucleotides) under uncultured eukaryote. RNAcentral's name for it is "SSU rRNA". It matches the Rfam family "Eukaryotic small subunit ribosomal RNA", at positions 567 to 990 of the family's 1831-position model. The record is from RNAcentral.